GAUGAACGCUGGCGGCGUGCCUAAUACAUGCAAGUCGAGCGAACAGGCGAGGAGCUUGCUCCUCUGACGUUAGCGGCGGACGGGUGAGUAACACGUGGAUGACCUACCUAUAAGACUGGGAUAACUUCGGGAAACCGGAGCUAAUACCGGAUAAUAUAUUGAACCGCAUGGUUCAAUAGUGAAAGACGGUUUUGCUGUCACUUAUAGAUGGAUCCGCGCCGCAUUAGCUAGUUGGUAAGGUAACGGCUUACCAAGGCAACGAUGCGUAGCCGACCUGAGAGGGUGAUCGGCCACACUGGAACUGAGACACGGUCCAGACUCCUACGGGAGGCAGCAGUAGGGAAUCUUCCGCAAUGGGCGAAAGCCUGACGGAGCAACGCCGCGUGAGUGAUGAAGGUCUUCGGAUCGUAAAACUCUGUUAUUAGGGAAGAACAAAUGUGUAAGUAACUAUGCACGUCUUGACGGUACCUAAUCAGAAAGCCACGGCUAACUACGUG
This 497-nucleotide ribosomal RNA is filed under the name uncultured bacterium. RNAcentral's name for it is "partial 16S ribosomal RNA". It matches the Rfam family "Bacterial small subunit ribosomal RNA", at positions 28 to 507 of the family's 1533-position model. The record is from RNAcentral.